GCGGUGGUCAUCUCGAGAAUCCUAUGGUUUGGUUACCGGGAUUGUUCAUUCUUCCCCAGUUUUAUUGUACAUAAGUUUUGAAGAAACAAGAGGUCCAUGUACUGGUUACUGCUAAUUUUUGUACUGACAUUUCAAUGGACACACAAGUGGGAGAUUUUUUACUGGUUAUUAUACAUGCAUGAGACCUCAUAUGUUACAGGGGAAUCGGCGCUGCCACAUUACAGGGGAAUCGGCGCUGCCACAUUCAAGAUCAUGAUUAGUUUGUUUUUGAGGGAAUGAUCAGAGAGUUAGUAAGGAAGAGGAAACAUGCUUUUGUUAAGAGUUGUUCAGGAUGAUGGGGCUGCGGUUUUGGUCCUCCAAUUUCUUCUCUGCUAGGCAAAGCCUGGCUCUAUCGAUCCGGUUGUAAAACAAUCCACUCCUAUUAAUAGAUACGACAUUGCUCCUGUUAAGUUUUCAAGAAUAAUGUGCUUGUUUGUUAUGGAAUAUGAGUGUAUUUUCUUCAAGACGUAAUACAAAAAUACUUGUUUUUGCGAUGUAACAUGGAUGUACUUCAUAUUUGUGUGUGUGCAUACUUGAGGAUUUCGUGAAAGGAAUAUUAUAC
Molecule: long non-coding RNA, 601 nt
Filed under: Triticum aestivum (bread wheat)
Lineage: Eukaryota; Viridiplantae; Streptophyta; Magnoliopsida; Poales; Poaceae
Description: long non-coding RNA (TAES_LNC003030)
Source: RNAcentral